UUAAAUAUUUAAAAAUAGCUUGGGGAAUGGGGAAAGGGCAAUUAAAACUAAACUCUGACUCGGUCCUCCAGAUGGGCUAUGGCCGGGAAGAGGUCAGGGAGCAAGGGGGCCACGGGGAUCCGGGGCGUGGGGCUCGGGGCCAGGCCAGAGUCUUAGGUAUCCGUAGCGCCCUCCUUCUUCCUCCUCUUCGCUGAAUACAACUCACGGUAAGUACUGGUUCACACAGUUCGUUCUCGGGGUGCUCACUCUCUUUCUCUUCCUCCACAGGCAACGGCUGGGACGCAAAGGCACAGCUAAUUCGGCUUGGUUUUGCUCUCACCUCUUCACUGAUUUCAGCUCACAGUAAGUACUGGUUCACACAGUUCGUUCCUUGGGUGCUCACUCGCUUUCUCUUUCUCCACAGGCAGCAGCGUAAGUACAGGUUUCCUCUGUCUCUCCUCGUGUUACCCACUCUCUCUCCUUUUUUUUCUCUCCACAGGUAUCAACUUGGGCACAAUAGCACAGUUAGUUUGCUUUGAAUGGCUCUCACCUCUGGGCUGGACACAGCGUACUGUAAGUACAGGUUUCGCUCUAUUUCUCCUCGCGUUAUCCACUCUCUCUCCUCCUCUCUACAGGUAUCAACUUGGACACAAAACACAGUUACUCUGCUUUGGAUGGCUUUCACCUCUGGGCUGGACACAACGUACUGUAAGUACAGGGUUCGCUCUAUUCCUCCUCGUGUUAUUCACUCUCUCUCUCCUUUUCUCUCCACAGGUAUCAACUUGGGCACAAUAGCACAGUUAGUUUGCUUUGAAUGACUCUCACCUCUGGGCUGAACACAGCGUACUGUAAGUACAGGUUUCCUCUGUUUCUCCUUGUGUUACUCACUCUCUCUUUCCUUUUCUCUCCACAGGUAUCAACUUGGGCACAAUAGCACAGUUAGUUUGCUUUGAAUGGCUCUCACCUCUGGGCUGGACACAGCGUACUGUAAGUACAGGUUUCGCUCUAUUUCUCCUCGCGUUAUCCACUCUCUCUCCUCCUCUCUACAGGUAUCAACUUGGACACAAAACACAGUUACUCUGCUUUGGAUGGCUUUCACCUCUGGGCUGGACACAACGUACUGUAAGUACAGGGUUCGCUCUAUUCCUCCUCGUGUUAUUCACUCUCUCUCUCCUUUUCUCUCCACAGGUAUCAACUUGGGCACAAUAGCACAGUUAGUUUGCUUUGAAUGACUCUCACCUCUGGGCUGAACACAGCGUACUGUAAGUACAGGUUUCCUCUGUUUCU
Carassius gibelio (silver crucian carp) is the source of this 1266-nucleotide long non-coding RNA. RefSeq lists it as uncharacterized. NCBI's taxonomy places the organism in Eukaryota, Metazoa, Chordata, Actinopteri, Cypriniformes, Cyprinidae. The record is from RefSeq and is a predicted model, not a curated record. The transcript is spliced from 2 exons.